RNAcentral lists this long non-coding RNA (861 nucleotides) under Chinchilla lanigera (long-tailed chinchilla). Its description in RNAcentral is "lncRNA (ENSCLAG00000025339.1)". Lineage: Eukaryota; Metazoa; Chordata; Mammalia; Rodentia; Chinchillidae. The record is from RNAcentral.
GGUGAAAGAGCUGCUCCUGCCUGGUGCCCGUGAAAAUGCUUCACAGAGGGGUGGUGAGAGACAGGAGGAACAGAACGCAGAAAGCAUGGGCCCAUUCUCUCCACAGGCACCAGCACCAGCCGCCAGCUGCCCAUCCUGGCUGAGGUUCUGUGUCAGCCUCCCUGCCCUCCCACAACUCCAUCUCAGCUCAGCAGCCUCAGUCUCUGGCUGUGCAGAUAAUUUCUGAACAAAAGCAAGACUAACAAAGUCCCGGCGGAGGGCGUGGAGGACUGGGUCAGGGGCCAAAAAUGCCAUAGUAGACUUGACACGCCAAGGGACACUGAAAGGAAACCCAACAGCUACUUGUUUCAGCCCAUCCUGAGCUCCUUGAGGUCAGCGGGAUGUAUAACUGGUUUGACCUCUACGACCUGCUGUGGUGUCAGGCUCACUGUGUUACCUCCACCUCCAGCCUCUCUUCCCUCUGCCUGUCCCCUUGUGGGGAAAGUUGGGAGCCUUAGGUAGGGUUAGAUUAGGGAGCCAGGCCUUUUUAAGAAGAAGAAAAGAAAUAGACUCUGUAUCACAGUGAGCAGCCGAGCUGCCUGCCUGUGGUUUUGACACCUGCCUCUGUGCAAGUGACACUGUCCCUCCUAGUGCAGGAUGCUAUGACUACACGCAUUCCCCACUUAGCACACCAGACCUAACCCUCCAGCAACAAGUUCAAUAACCAAUCAAGUAGUGACCCUCAGGAGUCGGGUAGAGACAGAGUCCCCACCCCAUAAAGUAGGACUGCUGCUCCAGAUUCAGCAGGGACCCAGCCCUCACCCCCCACUCCUUGGAGUGGCUUUGUAUCACUUCCUUUUGCAAAUAAAUGUUGCUUUGUAC